CUGUGACGUUACUGACAGAANAAGCACCGGCUAACUCCGUGCCAGCAGCCGCGGUAAUACCGGAGGGGUGCGAGCGUUAAUCGGAAUUACUGGGCGUAAAGCGUACGCAGGCGGUUUGUUAAGCGAGAUGUGAAAGCCCCGGGCUCAACCUGGGAACUGCAUUUSRAACUGGCAAACUAGAGUGUGAUAGAGGGUGGUAGAAUUUCAGGUGUAGCGGUGAAAUGCGUAGAGAUCUGAAGGAAUACCGAUGGCGAAGGCAGCCACCUGGGUYAACACUGACGCUSAUGUWCGAAAGCGUGGGGAGCAAACRGGAUUAGAUACCCYGGUAGUCCACGCCGUAAACGAUGUCUACUAGAAGCUNGGAGCCUCGGUUNUGUUUUUCANAGCUAACGCAUUAUAGUAGACCGCCUGGGGAGUACGGCCGCAAGGUUAAAACUCAAAUGAAUUGACGGGGGCCCGCACAAGCGGUGGAGCAUGUGGUUUAUUUCGAUGCAACGCGAAGAACCUUACCURCUCUUGACAUACAKAGAAUCUCUACCAGAGAUGGUUUGGUGCCUUCGGGAACUAUGAUACAGGUGCUGCAUGGCUGUCGUCAGCUCGUGUUGUGAGAUGUUGGGUUAAGUCCCGCAACGAGCGCAACCCYUAUCCUUAGUUGCUAGCAGGUAAUGCUGAGAACUCUAAGGAGACUGCCGGUGAUAAACYGGAGGAAGGUGGGGACGACGUCAAGUCAUCAUGGCCCUUACGUGUAGGGCUACACACGUGCUACAAUGGYGCAUACAGAGUGCUGCGAACUMGCGAGAGUAAGCGAAUCWCUUAAAGYGCGUCGUAGUCCGGAUUGGAGUCUGCAACUCGACUCCAUGAAGUMGGAAUCGCUAGUAAUCGCGUAUCAGAAUGACGCGGUGAAUACGUUCCCGGGCCUUGUACACACCGCCCGUCACACCAUGGGAGUGGGUUGCUACCAGAAGUAGA
RNAcentral lists this ribosomal RNA (969 nucleotides) under Pseudoalteromonas sp. HLD. Its description in RNAcentral is "partial 16S ribosomal RNA". It matches the Rfam family "Bacterial small subunit ribosomal RNA", at positions 467 to 1430 of the family's 1533-position model. Lineage: Bacteria; Pseudomonadati; Pseudomonadota; Gammaproteobacteria; Alteromonadales; Pseudoalteromonadaceae. The record is from RNAcentral.